Molecule: long non-coding RNA, 556 nt
Filed under: Manihot esculenta (cassava)
Lineage: Eukaryota; Viridiplantae; Streptophyta; Magnoliopsida; Malpighiales; Euphorbiaceae
Description: long non-coding RNA (MESC_LNC003170)
Source: RNAcentral
CUGUUUCUACUAUAAGAAAAGGCUCUUACAUGUCGACAAUGACAAUAUGCGUUUAGUGACCACCAGUCCAAUGGGAGUUUUAUUGCAUCGCCUCCCUUCGAGUGAUGCUGUGGCACUUCGAUCCUUCUUUCAUUCUAGUUUUAUUUAGCGAUCAGCAUCGCAUCCCUUCUGAGUGAUGUGCUUUGUUUUGGAUUUUCUAUUUCUUUUUUAGAUUUUUCAGGUCUGGAUCUGUAUUGUGCAUGUUGUUUUCUAAGUAUGCCCUCUUUUUUUCCUCCAGCUAUCUAUGAUGCCCAUAGUCUUAGGCGGUGGAUAAAGCUGCAUGGGCUGGAUUUAGAUUUAGGCUGAGCUAUAAUUAUUGGAUUUUAGGCUAGACUUUUCUUAAAUUUGUAUUUGCUGUUUGGCGGAAUCAACUUUCAAAUACAAAUUCACCUUUGCAUGUUACUGUGGCAUCAACAUUGACACUCACCAAACUCAAUUGCUACUGUAAAAUUUUAAAUUAUAUAUUUUUGUUAAAUAUUCAAUUUCACCUAUAAAUUUGUUUGAAAUGUUCUACUUA